GACGAACGCUGGCGGCGUGCCUAAUACAUGCAAGUAGAACGCUGAAGAGAGGAGCUUGCUCUUCUUGGAUGAGUUGCGAACGGGUGAGUAACGCGUAGGUAACCUGCCUUGUAGCGGGGGAUAACUAUUGGAAACGAUAGCUAAUACCGCAUAACAAUGGCUGACACAUGUCAUUUAUUUGAAAGGGGCAAUUGCUCCACUACAAGAUGGACCUGCGUUGUAUUAGCUAGUAGGUGAGGUAACGGCUCACCUAGGCGACGAUACAUAGUCGACCUGAGAGGGUGAUCGGCCACACUGGGACUGAGACACGGCCCAGACUCCUACCGGAGGCAGCAGUAGGGAAUCUUCGGCAAUGGGGGCAAACCUGACCGAGCAACGCCGCGUGAGUGAAGAAGGGUUUCGGAUCGUAAAGCUCUGUUGUAAGUCAAGAACGAGUGUGAGAGUGGAAAGUUUACAUUGUGACGGUAGCUUAACAGAAAGGGACGGCUAACUACGUG
RNAcentral lists this ribosomal RNA (497 nucleotides) under uncultured bacterium. Its description in RNAcentral is "partial 16S ribosomal RNA". It matches the Rfam family "Bacterial small subunit ribosomal RNA", at positions 28 to 507 of the family's 1533-position model. The record is from RNAcentral.